Molecule: ribosomal RNA, 468 nt
Filed under: uncultured bacterium
Lineage: Bacteria
Description: partial 16S ribosomal RNA
Rfam family: Bacterial small subunit ribosomal RNA
Source: RNAcentral
GACGAACGCUGGCGGCGUGCUUAACACAUGCAAGUCGAACGGAAAGGCCCUGCUUUUGUGGGGUGCUCGAGUGGCGAACGGGUGAGUAACACGUGAGUAUCCUGCCCUUGACUUUGGGAUAACUUCAGGAAACUGGGGCUAAUACCGGGUAGGAGCUCCUGCUGCACGGGGGGGGUUGGAAAGUUUCGGCGGUUGGGGAUGGACUCGAGGCUUAUCCGCUUGUUGGUGGGGUAGUGGCUUACCAGGGCUUUGACGGGUAGCCGGCCUGAGAGGGUGGCCGGCCACAUUGGUACUGAGGGACGGCGCAGACUCCUACGGGAGGCAGCAGUGGGGAAUAUUGCACAAUGGGCGGAAGCCUGAUGCAGCAACGCCGCGUGCGGGAUGACGGCCUUCGGGUUGUAAACCGCUUUCGCCUGUGACGAAGCGUGAGUGACGGUAAUGGGUAAAGAAGCACCGGCUAACUACGUG